AUGAACGCUGGCGGCGUGCCUAAUCCAUGCAAGUCGAGCGAACAGAUAAGGAGCUUGCUCCUUUGACGUUAGCGGCGGACGGGUGAGUAACACGUGGGUAACCUACCUAUAAGACUGGGAUAACUUCGGGAAACCGGAGCUAAUACCGGAUAACAUUUGGCACCGCAUGGUUCUAAAGUGAAAGAUGGUUUUGCUAUCACUUAUAGAUGGACCCGCGCCGUAUUAGCUAGUUGGUAAGGUAACGGCUUACCAAGGCGACGAUACGUAGCCGACCUGAGAGGGUGAUCGGCCACACUGGAACUGAGACACGGUCCAGACUCCUACGGGAGGCAGCAGUAGGGAAUCUUCCGCAAUGGGCGAAAGCCUGACGGAGCAACGCCGCGUGAGUGAUGAAGGGUUUCGGCUCGUAAAACUCUGUUAUUAGAGAAGAACAAAUGUGUAAGUAACUGUGCACGUCUUGACGGUACCUAAUCAGAAAGCCACGGCAAACUACGUG
This 496-nucleotide ribosomal RNA is filed under the name uncultured bacterium. RNAcentral describes it as "partial 16S ribosomal RNA". It matches the Rfam family "Bacterial small subunit ribosomal RNA", at positions 29 to 507 of the family's 1533-position model. The record is from RNAcentral.